UACGUAGGUGGCAAGCGUUGUUCGGAAUUAUUGGGCGUAAAGGGCGCGUAGGCGGCAUGUUAAGUCGGCUGUGAAAGCCUGGGGCUCAACCCCAGAGGGUCGGCCGAUACUGGCAAGCUAGAGUACGGAAGAGGUAGCUGGAAUUCCCGGUGUAGCGGUGAAAUGCGUAGAUAUCGGGGGGAACACCUGAGGCGAAGGCGGGCUACUGGGCCGAUACUGACGCUGAUGCGCGAAAGCCAGGGGAGCGAACGGG
Molecule: ribosomal RNA, 253 nt
Filed under: uncultured bacterium
Lineage: Bacteria
Description: partial 16S ribosomal RNA
Rfam family: Bacterial small subunit ribosomal RNA
Source: RNAcentral